CACGCGCCGCCGACGUCGGGCGAGCCGUCGUGAAGCACGACGUCGAAGGCGGUGACCCCCUUGGAGUCCAUGAGCCUCCGCACGGCGGAGCGGCACUUGGUGGUGGUGAUGUCCUCCGUGAGGGAGUGCGCGUCGCGGAUGGGGCGGACGGGCACGAGGUCGACGCCGACGACAAAGGCGCCGGCGGGGGCACGGGCGACGGCCACCUGCAUUCAGCCACCCGGCGCCGCGCAGAGGUCGAGCACGGCAUGCGCCGCAGACGGGGAGGAUGGGCAUGAGGUCGACGCCGCCGACGAAGGCGCCGGCGGUGGCACGGAUGACGGCCACCUGCAUCCAGCCUCCCGGGGCCGCGGACGGGGCGGAUGGGCACGAGGUCGACGCCGAUGA
RNAcentral lists this ribosomal RNA (387 nucleotides) under Triticum aestivum (bread wheat). Its description in RNAcentral is "partial small subunit ribosomal RNA". The record is from RNAcentral. Lineage: Eukaryota; Viridiplantae; Streptophyta; Magnoliopsida; Poales; Poaceae.